AGCAAGGCCAGGGACUGAACCCGCAACCUCAUGGUUCCUAGUCGGAUUCGUUAACCACUGCACCACGACGGGAACUCCUAUUAUUUUCUGUUAUAGUUAGUUUAUAGUGUUCCAUCAAUUUUCUCCUGUAGAGCAGUGACCUAGUCAUACACACACACACACACACACACACACACACACACACACACUCUCUUUGUGCCAUUUGGAAUUCUUACCAGCAACGAAUGGGAGUUCUUUUUGCUCCACAAACUUGCCAGAAUUUGGUGUUUUGUGUUCUCGGUUUAAGCCAUUCUAAUAUAUAUGUAGUGAUAUUUCAUUGCUGUUUUAAUUUGUAUUCUCCGGGGCCUCUUUUCAUGUGCUUAUUUGCUAUCUGUAUAUCUUCUUUGGUGAGAUAUCUGUUGAGGUCUUUGGCCUUGUUUUAAUUGAAAUCUCUUCUUAUUAUUGGGUUUUAAGCUUUAUUUUCGUAUUUUGGAUAACAGCCCUCUGUCAGAUGGGUCUUUUGCCAAUAUUGCCUCCCAGUCUGUGGCUUGUCUUUUCAUUCACUUGACAUCAUUUUUCGCAGAGCAGAAAGUUUUUAUUUUAGUGAAAUCCAGCUCAUCACCUCUUUCUUUCAUGGAUCAUAUCUUUGGUGUUUGACCUCACAAGUCAUUGCCAAGCCCAGGAUCAUCUGGAUUCUCUCCUCUGUUGCCUUCCAGGAGUUUUAUAGGUUUGCAUUUUACAUUCACAUUUGUGAUCCAUUUUGAGUUAAUUUUUCUGAAGAGCAAUCUGGGUCUGGAUUAAAUUUUUUUUUUGCAUUUGGAUGUUCAGUUGUUCAGUUGGUGUUUAAUUUUAUUUAUAAAUAAAUAACCUUUAUUUGGAGUUCCUCUGUAGUGCAACAGGAUCGGCUGCAUCUUGGGGGCGCUAGGACACACAUUCGAUCCCCAGCCCGGCACAGUGGGUUAAGGAUCCAGCAUUGCCGCAGCUGUGGCUUAGGUUGCAGCUAGAGCUCGGAUCUGAUCCCUGGCUCAGGAGCUCCAUGUGCCGCAGCGUGGCCGAAAAAGAAAACAAACAAACAAAAAACCAUUUACCUAUUACUACAGCAGACUAUUUCAGCCUGCAUUUACCAAGCAAGCAUCACCGAAUGUUGUGUUUCACAAUAUUCUUUCGGGACAAGUUAGAAGGUUAGACCCACUAAACAAGCUGGAGAGGCCAUGCAUCUAGUUCUCCCUCUUUGAGAUUCAAAUAUUCAGAGCAUAUUAAAAGUUCUGAUGAGUCCUAAUCAGACGGCUUGUCUCUGUGUUUCCCAAACUUAUUUCACUGGUCACUCACUUUUUGCCCCCGAUUCUACUAAUUUCUCCAAGAAUUAAUGCUCCUGAACACACUUUAGGAAAUGCUUUUCCGGUCUCGUAUUCUUUUGCCUCCUUUCAAUCGCAUCUUCAUCAAGGAAUUGCUUUCUUACUUAUUCACAGGUUUAUGUCCAAUGGACAUUAGUAUUGCUGGAAUAUUAAGUACAUAUAAAAAUAGCUAGACAGGAUGCAUGAACUCAGUGAUAUAUUUUGUCCAUGUCCACCAUGCCUAAAACACAGCCCAUUCAAUCAAAAUUCUUCGCACGCUCAACACCAACAGCUAAUUACGCUUGCAGUCAAAUGCAGUGAGACGCUCCUUGUUAAAGCCACAGUCACAACACUCACACCCUGCAAAUACUGAAUACAAUAGUACUUCACACGAGCUCUUCAUCCACAGAGACACAUGGAUGACAUCCAUUUCGUUAUUUCAUCCAAGUAUUCAACCGAGGGCAAUGGAAAACAAUUUGGAAGCUAUAAAUUGUCACGGAAUUGAUGCAUGUGAGAUCACCACGCUGGUGUUGGCUGCUUUGAAGCUUUCAUGUGGAAAUGUGGGUUAUCACAUCAGAUUUGGGAUACUGACUUGAUGCUAAAUAUUCAUUAACCAGACUAAAAUCUAUCACCUAUUCAGAUAAUUUCAGUCCCUUCUCUCUUAGUCAAUCCAGAUCUUCCAAAUAUCUUCCUAGCUUCCUCUCUACCUCCCUAUCUAGGUAUGCCUGGGAUUUCUGCACUAAUGACCCUGCGUAUUACCAGAAACUUGGACCGCAGAGGCAGGAAAUGAAGUGUUGAAAAAAAGUGAGAAAGAAGCCUCCUGAAAAAAACCAACCAAAACAUUAAAGAAAAGAUAAAACCUCCCAGAAAAAAAGAAAAAAAAAAACAAAAACAAGAAAAAACCCCCACAAAACUAAUUGAACCCUCAGAAAUAUGUUUUUAACAUUCACAGGAAUUAUUAUACAUAUUUUAUGGGGGAAAAGAAACUUAAAACAGAGAAGAGACUCCAAAACUCUGUCAUAUGCCAACAACAUACACCAGAAAUAACUAACUCCAUCCCGCCACUUAGCAAAAUAACUGGGUGAAAGUUCUUGGUUUCCAGGGAUGCUAAAUAACCCACAGGGCUGAUGAUGAUGAGAUGAUUAGCAUAUGCUUACGUUUUUCAGGACUGAAUUUCCAAUAAAUGCCUUCCUUGGCUAAAACGUUUACAUUUAAAGAAAUGUGCAAUAAGGCACAGGCUUAUUUCUAGCCCCAUCUAAGCCCCAGAAUUCUGCAGAUACCAGUUUAAAUUGGUAAGGCAUUUUUUUUUUUUCAUACCAGUUGCUUAACAGGAUUUUGCUCCAUCAAGCACACAUUAAAAAAAAAAAAAUUUGAAGUGACACACUACAUCAUAGCUGGAAACAACAAAACAUUUAAAAGGUCUUUUGUAUAACAUAUUGCAAGUCGCCAGCUGUUUUUCUGAUCCAUAGAGCAAAUCCUACUCUGAAAGACUGCUGCCCAGAAGGCACGCGCUGACAUUGAUUUGAAUCCACCAGCUCUCCCGGUGGAUCAGAUGGCAUCUCAGCACUGGAAUCAGUAUUGCUAUCACAUACUCAUAUGUCGCCUCAUGGGACAAGAGCUGCAAGAAAUAUGAAGGGAAAUUGCUCCCGUUAGGGGACAGCUACAUUUAUUCCCGUUAAAAAAAAAAAAAAAGCCACCACCUAGAGUGUGCAUAUUUAAAUGCCGCUUAACUGAAAAAAGAGUCCACCCUUUUUUGCCCAAAUGUUAAUACACUCAGCAUAAUAAUCCACCAUGUCUGUUUCCUAGCCCUAUUCUUAGCCUUCCUUGGGGUUGAGCUAACUAGCCAAGUUCUUUUCAAGGCCAUGUGAAAAGGAUUUGUCCUCUCAGAAACUCACCACCAAAGACAUUUCAGAAAAAUGUCUGAAGGGGCUUCCACUUCUGCCUUUGUGUCCGUGUCCAACCUCGGAAGCGCACCCACCUUCCCAGAAAGAGGAAGGGCUCUUUCCAUCUGUGAAUCAGGUUCAGGGACAUUUCUACAUUUUUAUUUAUUCUUCAAUUUCCAGGAUGGUCCUUUAGUUUGAAGGACGACAACCAUUUGGGGGAAAGCAAUUUCAAAUUUUAACUGAUUUUCUAAGCCACAAAUAACGUGGCUUCACUUGAUGGAAAGCUGUGUCAUGCACCUAAGAGUUCAUUAGCUCUCUUGGCCUUUGCUUCUUCACAUGAACAAAAAGAUCCUGACUCCAAGUAAAUGUCUGUGAAGCUCAGUAAUUCCAAACAGCCUGGCUUCAGCCUAGGCUCACAGAAAAACACAGAGCCCUACCCCAAACCAUAUGCUUAUAUCCAUCCAUUCAUCCAUCCAUCCAUCUAUCCAUCCCCCCAACAGAUUACUUAUUGAAUACCCACUAUAAACCUAAAAACACAGGCAUGGAUAAACAGACAAGGACUCUGCUGUCACACAACUCACCAUGCAGGAAGGAGGUAUGAUUAUUCAUAGGAUGUGUUACCCUAAAAACACUGUGAGUCAAUCACAGCUGUUGUAUUCAAAAGGUUUACCUUAAUUCUAUGCUUUUCUCAGUGGGUUCUGUGCCAGGAAAAUAUUCAGGACAACAUCUUCGGUUUAAGAAGAUAAAAUACAUUUAGCAAAAGAAGAUGACACUUGUCCUCUAAAGAUACAGCCUGUCAGAUAUUCUUAAACAGAUAAGAACCUUAACGGAAGAACUCAGAAAUACAUUUAAUAUAUAACACUAAGCACGUGAUGGAAGCAUAAAUGAUGUCAGUAUGAUAAAUUGUCACUUAAGUAUUUCAUUCAGAAAAAAGUAAAAUAAAUUCUUGUGGGUUUCAGAUCGUAAAGGAAGACAGCAUUAAAUGCAGAGCUUGUUUAGCAAAAAUAAAUCCAAUAGUCACAGUAGCAAGAGCCUCAUGGGAAUAACAGGUCAUUAGAAGCUUUUAAGAGUCUCAUAACAGAUGACAUUCCCUUAGGUCUUUUUCAAUCCCAACUUGGCCCAAGUCAUUCUCUUUCUUGGGCUGUUUUUUAAGUCAGUAGGCUGCAGUAUAAUACAUCUUGACAUCAUAACCUAAAAUAUCAGAUCAGCUCAAUUGUUAUGCAAGUAAUGUUGCUUUGCAAAUGACUGCUGGGAGAGGGGCUGCCACCAAGUGAAGAGGAAAAUGCGUGCCACGUCCACUCCCCGCUGCCUGUGGCUUAAUCUGAAAUAACAUCUGUGAAGGAACAUGUGACACUUCGAUCCAACAAUGCAUUUGACGGGCAAAAGUAUCUGUAAUAAAAUUUCGAGUACAAGGGAAUCAGGACGCUGCAGCUUUCACCUCUGCCUGUCCCUACUCCCACCGCCCCACCUCUGCCCAACUCCCCCCCAGGAAAGGGGCCGGCGGGAAUUGGCUCGCUAUGGAGAUCAGCUCUGUAUAGUGUUCACCCAACAGCAGCGAUGGGUUUCUCCUUUUCGAGCACAGUGUGACCCUCUUAGAAUCUCAAGGAGGCUGCUAACACAGUGUUCUUCUCUGUGCAAC
This 4835-nucleotide long non-coding RNA is filed under the name Sus scrofa (pig). RNAcentral describes it as "lncRNA (ENSSSCG00025023085.1)". Lineage: Eukaryota; Metazoa; Chordata; Mammalia; Artiodactyla; Suidae. The record is from RNAcentral.